UUAAUUGAAGCUAAUAUAUAAUAGUAUUUCAUUGUUAAUGAAAAAGAAGAUUAUAGUUAAUCCUAUUAAA
RNAcentral lists this transfer RNA (70 nucleotides) under Kokeshia sp. NKU02. Its description in RNAcentral is "tRNA-Asn". The record is from RNAcentral. Lineage: Eukaryota; Metazoa; Arthropoda; Insecta; Hemiptera; Schizopteridae.